CCUACGUGAGGCAGCAGUGAGGAAUAUUGGUCAAUGGGCGCGAGCCUGAACCAGCCAAGUCGCGUGAGGGAAGACGGUCCUAUGGAUUGUAAACCUCUUUUGUCGGGGAGCAAAAGACGCCACGCGUGGCGUUCCGAGAGUACCCGAAGAAAAAGCAUCGGCUAACUCCGUGCCAGCAGCCGCGGUAAUACGUAGGGGGCAAGCGUUAUCCGGCUUUACUGGGUGUAAAGGGAGCGUAGACGGCAUAGCAAGUCUGAAGUGAAAGCCCAAGGCUCAACCAUGGGACUGCUUUGGAAACUGUUAAGCUAGAGUGCUGGAGAGGUAAGCGGAAGUCCGAGUGGAGCGGUGAAAUGCGUAGAUAUUAGGAAGAACACCAGUGGCGAAGGCGGCUUACUGGACAGUAACUGACGUUGAGGCUCGAAAGCGUGGGGAGCAAACAGGAUUAGAUACCCCUGUAGUC
RNAcentral lists this ribosomal RNA (460 nucleotides) under uncultured bacterium. RNAcentral's name for it is "partial 16S ribosomal RNA". It matches the Rfam family "Bacterial small subunit ribosomal RNA", at positions 338 to 795 of the family's 1533-position model. The record is from RNAcentral.